AGGAGCAGUAAUUAUUUUAGCACAUUUGUUAAAAAAAAAAAAACUUCAAAAUGUCAUGCAAAAAGGGCUGCCUAGGUGGCUCAGUCAGUUAAGUGACUGACUCCUGACUUCAACUCAGAUCAUGAUCUCACAGCUCAUGAGAUCGAUGUGAGUUCUGUGCUAACAGUGCAGAGCCUGCAGAAUCGAAUCCCUGCUUGGGAUUCUCUCUCUCCCUCUCUCUCUCUCUCUCUCUCUGCCCCUCCCUGGCUCACAUGCACAUGCUCUCUCUCAAAAUAAACAUUAAAAAAAGAAAAUUCAUACAACCUAACAAAUUUCAUGCAACAAAUAUCCUGACCAUUCUGCUAUAAAGAAACAGAAUAGAAAUAGCAAAGAACUUUUUUUAAAGAUUGUCAUUAAAAAAAUAACAAAAUAAUUACACAUUCUGUCAGUUUCUUAACAUCUGAAAUGACUUUCCUAAUUCACGAUGCUAUGUAUUAUACAGGCUCUAUAAACUUCAUCUCUAUGGGGGUUUCUUUCCCCCAGAAGACUUGUUUUCUACAAACCAAAAGCUUCACUGGAUAACAUAAGUUUUCUCUUACGUUAAAAAAGAGUGUGUUGACGUCAAUGUUAGAAGUUAAUUGAGUGCAGGAGUAAAUAACCUGCAACUUCUCACUGCCAAGGAGCUCCCUCAGGUCAUAUACUCUGAAAGCAAUAACCUGCAAGAUGGCACCGUCAAACACACCAAGAAUAGCUCCAAAUGAGAGAGAAAGAUUAUUUCUGGACAUCUCUUUUGAGUUCUCCCACAGCUCAAUCUCAUGGACAUUCUGUUCAGUCACCCAGUAAUGAAGUAUUAUGCUGUCCUUGACAGUGGCACAUACGAAGAUCAUGUGGUGGUUUAUAAUUAACUGUAAGUGACACAGAAGACGCUGAUACAUCUGAGUAGUAUCACAACUGGAAAUCCUGGAGCAGAGUUGCAGUUCCAUCAGAUAGUUACGCGUCACUAAAUAUAGAUCUGUGGCUUAGAAUGUACAGUUCAUGAAGAGCUGACUUCUGGAAAAAGGUAUGUCCUGCUUAGCUGUGACUUAAAGGGAAGUUUCACCCACAAAUUUUCAGAGAAGACUGGUGAAAGCUUACAGUCUGAAAGAGGAUCAAUAGGAAAGAAGGCUGUAUUUUAAAGAGAAAUGUGGUAAGAUUAGAAGACAGGAGGUUAUUUAUUAGUGCCCUCUUAUAAAAAAUAAAUCACCUUAAAGACAAGGUGGUGUGUAUUUGGGGUCCAGCAUAUAACGAGACGUGUCAAUGGAUAACUGCUAAAUACAUCAUUCUCAACAUUAUGAUCUCAGAGUGUAGGUGUAGCUGAUAAUUCUAAGUAAUCAACAGUUAACACACGAAGGCUUGCCUUAUUCUGUGGCUAUGACUAUCUUAAAUCUCUAGUUUUCCACAGCUUUAAAAUAAAAUCUUAGUUCUAUACCAAAAUAUUUUAAUAUACCUAUCUCUUAGCAAUUUAGUUCCAAGCUAUUUCAUUUAAAAAUGUUCUUCAGUGCACCUUUAAAGUGUUUUUUUCUGCUGUCUCUCUCUGUAGCAACAUCAUCCUCCAUGCUAAUAAGGCAAAUGCGAGGAUAUCUUGCUAUUAAGUGAGUCCAGUGAACAAGAAACUUUAAGAACAACAGAAAUCAGUAACUGGACUAACCGGGAAAAGGGGAGCUCUUUGAAGCUCCUGUCCAAACCAACUGAAAUAAAUAAUGAAGGCUGAAGAAGAAUAUUCAAAAUAAUGGGUAAUCACUAAACACUUCCCCAUUGGGAGGCCAAGCAAGAAAUAAGUCAGAAUAAGACAACCAUGACUAGGACCAAACAACGACGACGACAAGAAGAAGAAGAACAACAACAACAACAUAGAAGCACAAACACAAAACGGAACAGUGCACAUGGUAGGUGAUAUAAAUGUGCCAAAUAAAUGAAGAAAACAAUAAGCUGAAGCUGGGAAAAUCAAGUGUCAAGACAGAAGACUCCUUCUCUCUAGACUCUUCCAAGCUGCUGAAACAAACGUCUACGUUGUUUUUUUUAAGGUGGCUGCAUCAAAUCCUAACAUCUCUACCUCACACUUCCUUCUCCUCCCUUCAGUUAAAGGAUGAUGGAAUCAAGCCAAGUGAGCCCAAACCCUGGAUCCAACACCUAUCAACCAAGUCAGACAAUGGACAUGGUCAUAUCUCUUUCAGCUUGUGCUCAACUCUGUACCAGCAGAGAAUCCAGCGCUCAAAAUACUGCCACAUGGACCCACUUGGAAUACCCAAAUGCUGCCGCUGGGGUCUCACCCAUCCGUGACUUACAGAAACUGUCUGUUCUCUUUGUAGAACAAAGACCCUUUGUUCUCCUUGUUCUUUACACUUUACAUAUAAUGGGUCAUCUAAUUCUCAUGACAAUCUCACAAGGCAAAACCCAUCAUUAUCCUCAUCUUAUACAUGAGAAACAAAGGCCCAGAGAGGUUAAAGGUCUUAACCAAGGCCACACAGCUAGUAAGUGGCAGGGCCAGAAUAUGAACUCCAGCAAUCUGACUCCAGAGUCCACACUCGGCAAUCACUCUGGCCUCCUAGGAUUCCCCAAAGCCUCCUGUACCUAAUUCUAUAAUGGUACUUAGUCCAAAGCAUUAAUAUCAUUGUUCUGCCUUCUACAAAACUCUUACCCUAACACCUAAGCAAAAGGCCUAACACAAAGAUUGCAGUGGGGCACCUGGGUGGCUCAGAUAAACAUCUGACUCUUGGUUUCAGCUCAGGUCACGAUUUCACGGUUUGAGGAGUUCAAGCCCCGCGUUGGGCUCUGUGCUGGCAGCACAGAGUCUGUUUGGGAUUCUCUCUCUUGCCCUCUCUGUCCCUCCGCCACUCACCCUCUUUCUCAAAAUAGAUAAAUAAGCUUCAAAAAAAAAAAAAGGAAGUAUGCAUUUAAUCAAGGCUACUAAAUUAAUAACAACUGACCUUCACCUGUCUUCAUGAAGACAUCCUUAUAAUAAUUUUUAAUUUUUAUAUUUUUAAGGUACUGAAAAAUUAAUAAAGGAAAAAUUUUUAUGCCUACUUAACAAUUUUUAAAACUUUUUCUUUUUACCUUUCAACCCCCUGCCUCUAGUACUCACCAAUCUGUUCUCUGUGUGUAUGAGCUUGGUGUUUUGUUUUGUUUUUUUGAUUCCACAUUCUCAUAUAAGAGUGGUCAUAUAGCAUUUGUCUUUCUCUGACUUAUUUCACCCGCCAUAAUGCCACUGAGGUACAAUCCAUGUUGUCACAAAUGGCAAGAUUUCCCUUUUUUUAUAGUGGAACAAAAUUCAAUUGUAUAUAUGAGUAUAUGUAUGUAUUAUAUCUUCUUUAUCAUCCACUGAUGAAUACUUAAGGUUAUUUCCAUAUCUUGGCUAUUGUACAUGCUUCAGUGAACACGAAAGUGCAUGUAUCUUUUUGGGUUAGUGUUUUCAUUUUCUUUGGAUAAACACCCAGAAGCAGAAUUGCUGGAUCAUAUGUUAAUUCUAUUUUUAAUUUUUUGAGGAACUUCCAUACUAGUUUUCAAAGUGGCUGUACCAAUUUACAUUCCCACCAAUAGUGCACAAGAGUUCCCAAGUAUGCUCUUAUACUAGCUUUGACAUUCAACUCAAGGAAUAACUCAUAGAAAUAUUUAAAGUUUAAGGUUACCUGAAAUAUUUUCAGUUCAAUAUUAACUAUAAAAGGCUUAAAGAGAACACUCAUUCUACUAUGAAAGAAACUUUAUUAGCCUACAAAAUGGUGAAACUUUGAAGAAAUUGCUGUUUCUCUAAAUAGGGAGUAGGGAAAAGUCAGUACUAAUCCAGAAGAUAAUUAACCAAUGGAAUUUCUCAUGUACCCCCACACAAUGAAGAGUGAAGAUACUAUGGUUACUACGCAAACUUCCAAUUUAAAAAUACCGGAUUAAGUCAUUUCUGAAGUUAAGCUGGCAGGCAUUCUUUAACCCUCCUCACCCAAAAAAGAAAGAAAGAGACAUUACUUCUAAGUAGUGAAUGCUGACAACACCCUUUAUCUCCCUGCACCCUCCACCUGACACUUGAUCACACAUCAAGCUCCCCUCCACCAAAACCCUUGUACUUCCCAGGGAUCACUACCCCCAAUUUUGGGGGGGGCCAAUAUAGUCAGCUACUGAUAUUUGUUGAUAACUAUGAUAAUGCUUAAGAGUUUGAUUAGGCUUAAGCUAUUUUUUCCCUAAACUGCAUUUUUUAUAUCUAAAUUUCAAUCAUAAGCUAAUAAAAAGUAGAUCUUUUCCAGUGCAAAUAUUUUAAAUUAGGGGUUUAAUAGGAAAAAAAGGUACAGGAAGGAUAUAUUUUGUUUCACACACUCCUAUUCCUCCUUGAUGUCUAAACAUCAAGGAAAUAACACAUCAAGUGUUAUUAAGUCUGCACAGUCUCAAGAUAUCACGAUGUACUUAUUAACUGUUUCUGAAAACAAGCUGUACUAAAAACAUGCCUAUUAGUAAAGAGCAACAAAGACUGUCUAAGCCUAACAGAGCAUACGCUGGCCAGGGAAAAAGCUUGCUAGAUUUGUACUGUUUAAAACACUCAUUCAUCAAAAAUAGUACAUGAUAAAGAAGCCCAGACUAAUAUAUAUGUGAUGGUACUAUUAAAACAAGAUUCAUGAAUCCUCUAUUACUUCCUGCCAACAUGGAAGUAGACACAGGCUAAUAUGAUCCAGGCAAGAGAAAUAGGAAACACAGAACAAUGUACAGAAGAGAGGGGGAAAAAAGGCCCUAGGUUUAAAUCACCUUCUACCACAUGGAAUAAAAGCAGAACUUAGGACAUGUCUAGUUUUAUGGAAAGAAGUAAGAGAAUGCCAAUACAGGGAAAGUUUGUCAGCUGCCAAAGAAAACAGAAUAACCUUUGCUUACAAAGAGACUGAUUAAAAUUCAUGUUCCUUCUUGUAUUCAAGCUUUCCACAUGAGCUGAAUACAGAAGAAAAUAAAUGAACUACAUCAAGAUUCGCAAUAACUAUGAAAAAUAAAUUCAAAAGUUAAACAGUAUUUUCCUUUAAUAUCCCAAAUGCAAAUUCAACUUCAAAAAAAGAAAAAAAAAAUCUCUAUCAGAAUCUCCUUAUCUGUUAGAGAUUAACCUCAAAAUUUUUAUGUUCUUUUACUCCUACUUAAGAAAAUUUCCUGCCCACUGGCUCUGGAAAUAAGAAGAAAAAGGCACAUCAAAAGAGAGAUGAAAAACAUGGCUUCCUGUAGGAGCCAUUACCAAGCACUCAGGACAACGAAACCUACACAGCAUCAACAGGAUCAGACACUAUGUUUCCUCUGCAGCAGUGAUGGAUUUUUAAAGAUUCAAAUCAACUUAACAAAUCCUGGAUGCCUUCUAGAAGCCAGUCACUGUACUUUUCAGGAUGCAGAGCCGAUCUCCCAGUCCAUUCCUGUUCAGCCUGCUUUGUCUCCCACAGCAUUUAGAGCAAAGGGUCUGUCAGAAUUCAGUGCCAUGAAACAGGGCAACUAAUUAGUCAAAAGAAACACAGAUCCCUAUCUUGCCCUGACUUGUGGGCUUCUAUCAAUGACCACAAACUUGCUCUGAAGUAGCUGGGGUCCACUUGACAUUAUAAAACAAAUUUCUACCAAGGGUUACCAGUUACUGGCAAAAUUAUCACCAGAAAAGAAGUUCUGAAACAGAAUGCUGAUGUGUUAUCGGGAACUACCAUUCCGAUUUCUCCAAUUUACUUCAUCAAGUAGAAAAACAACAACAAAUAAUAGCACCACUGAAUCUACAUCUAAGGUGACUCCUGUAGUGCCAAAUAAAGAUGUUCUAUGUAUACUUUAAAACAAAACAAAAAUAUCACUUAUGUCUGUGUGUGUGUGUGUGUGUGUGUGUGAGUGUGAGUGUGUGUGUGUUUUAAAUAAUGGUAGUACAAGGGCUCCUCCUUGAUGGUUCAGCUGGUUAAGCGUCUGACUUCGGCUUAGGUCAUGAUCUCUCAAUUUGUGAGUUUGAGCCCCUCAUCAGGCUCUCUGCUGUCAGCACAGAGCUCACCUCAGAUCCUCUGAACCCCUCACCCUCUGCCCUUCCCCAACUCAUGCUCGCUUGCGCGUGCUCUCUCAAAAAUAAACAAAUAUUUAAAAUAAAAUAAUGGGAGUACAGGAGCGCCUGGGUGGCUUGGUCAGUUGAGCAUCUGACUUCGGCUCAAGUCAUGAUCUCACGGUUCCUGAGUUUGAGCCCGGCAUUGGGCUCUGUGCUGACAGCUCAGAGCCUGGAGCCUGCUUCAGAUUCCGUGUCUCCCUCUCUCUGCCCUUCCCCUGCUCACACUGUCUCUCUCUCUCAAAAA
Acinonyx jubatus (cheetah) is the source of this 6278-nucleotide long non-coding RNA. RefSeq lists it as uncharacterized. The transcript is spliced from 4 exons. Lineage: Eukaryota; Metazoa; Chordata; Mammalia; Carnivora; Felidae. The record is from RefSeq and is a predicted model, not a curated record.